Molecule: ribosomal RNA, 274 nt
Filed under: uncultured bacterium
Lineage: Bacteria
Description: partial 16S ribosomal RNA
Rfam family: Bacterial small subunit ribosomal RNA
Source: RNAcentral
ACACGGGGGGCGCAAGCGUUAUUCGGAAUUAUUGGGCGUAAAGGGCGCGUAGGCGGUCUUGUCGGUCAGAUGUGAAAGCCCAGGGCUCAACCCUGGACGUGCAUUUGAAACAGCAAGACUAGAGUACGGGAGAGGAAAGCGGAAUUCCUGGUGUAGAGGUGAAAUUCGUAGAUAUCAGGAGGAACACCGAUGGCGAAGGCAGCUUUCUGGACCGAUACUGACGCUGAGGCGCGAAGGCGUGGAUAGCGAACAGGAUUAGAAACCCCAGUAGUCC